This 218-nucleotide ribosomal RNA is filed under the name Enterobacter sp. LR6. Its description in RNAcentral is "partial 23S ribosomal RNA". It matches the Rfam family "Bacterial large subunit ribosomal RNA", at positions 1 to 220 of the family's 2925-position model. Lineage: Bacteria; Pseudomonadati; Pseudomonadota; Gammaproteobacteria; Enterobacterales; Enterobacteriaceae. The record is from RNAcentral.
GGUUAAGCGACUAAGCGUACACGGUGGAUGCCCUGGCAGUCAGAGGCGAUGAAGGACGUGCUAAUCUGCGAAAAGCGCCGGCGAGGUGAUAUGAACCUUUGACCCGGCGAUGUCCGAAUGGGGAAACCCAGUGCAAUCCGUUGCACUAUCGUUAACUGAAUACAUAGGUUAACGAGGCGAACCGGGGGAACUGAAACAUCUAAGUACCCCGAGGAAAA